This 425-nucleotide ribosomal RNA is filed under the name uncultured bacterium. Its description in RNAcentral is "partial 16S ribosomal RNA". It matches the Rfam family "Bacterial small subunit ribosomal RNA", at positions 354 to 796 of the family's 1533-position model. The record is from RNAcentral.
GUGGGGAAUCUUAGACAAUGGGGGCAACCCUGAUCUAGCCAUGCCGCGUGAGUGAUGAAGGCCUUAGGGUCGUAAAGCUCUUUCGCUGGGGAAGAUAAUGACGGUACCCAGUAAAGAAACCCCGGCUAACUCCGUGCCAGCAGCCGCGGUAAUACGGAGGGGGUUAGCGUUGUUCGGAAUUACUGGGCGUAAAGCGCGCGUAGGCGGAUUGGAAAGUUGGGGGUGAAAUCCCGGGGCUCAACCCUGGAAUGGCCUUCAAAACUCCCAGUCUUGAGGUCGAGAGAGGUGAGUGGAAUUCCGAGUGUAGAGGUGAAAUUCGUAGAUAUUCGGAAGAACACCAGUGGCGAAGGCGACUGACUGGACAAGUAUUGACGCUGAGGUGCGAAAGCGUGGGGAGCAAACAGGAUUAGAAACCCUUGUAGUCC